AUACGUAGGGUGCAAGCGUUAAUCGGAAUUACUGGGCGUAAAGCGUGCGCAGGCGGUUUUGUAAGACAGAGGUGAAAUCCCCGGGCUCAACCUGGGAACUGCCUUUGUGACUGCAAGGCUAGAGUACGGCAGAGGGGGAUGGAAUUCCGCGUGUAGCAGUGAAAUGCGUAGAUAUGUGGAGGAACACCGAUGGCGAAGGCAAUGCCCUGGGCCUGUACUGACGCUCAUGCACGAAAGCGUGGGGAGCAAACAGGAUUAGAUGCCCGGGUAGUCCGCGCCCUAAACGAUGUCAGCUGGUUGUUGGGUCUUCAUUGACUCAGUAACGAAGCUAACGCGUGAAGUUGACCGCCUGGGGAGUACGGCCGCAAGGUUGAAACUCAAAGGAAUUGACGGGG
RNAcentral lists this ribosomal RNA (395 nucleotides) under uncultured bacterium. RNAcentral describes it as "partial 16S ribosomal RNA". It matches the Rfam family "Bacterial small subunit ribosomal RNA", at positions 523 to 918 of the family's 1533-position model. The record is from RNAcentral.